RNAcentral lists this ribosomal RNA (403 nucleotides) under uncultured Victivallis sp. RNAcentral's name for it is "partial 16S ribosomal RNA". It matches the Rfam family "Bacterial small subunit ribosomal RNA", at positions 355 to 774 of the family's 1533-position model. The record is from RNAcentral. Lineage: Bacteria; Pseudomonadati; Lentisphaerota; Lentisphaeria; Victivallales; Victivallaceae.
UCGAGAAUCUUGGGCAAUGCGCGAAAGCGUGACCCAGCAAUGCCGCGUGUGUGAUGAAGGUCUUCGGAUUGUAAAACACUGUCUCCCGGGACGAAAAUUGACGGUACCGGGGAAGGAAGCCACGGCUAACUACGUGCCAGCAGCCGCGGUAAUACGUAGGUGGCGAGCGUUGUUCGGAUUUAUUGGGCGUAAAGGGUCUGUAGGAGGUUUGUUAAAUGCGGGGUGAAAUCCGGGAGCUCAACUCCCGAACUGCCUUGUAGACUGACAGACUAGGGUACUGGAGAGGUAAGCGGAAUACCAAGUGUAGCGGUGGAAUGCGUAGAUAUUUGGUAGAACACCAAUAGCGAAGGCAGCUUACUGGACAUUAACCGACUCUGAGAGACGAAAGCGUGGGGAGCAAACA